RNAcentral lists this ribosomal RNA (253 nucleotides) under uncultured bacterium. RNAcentral's name for it is "partial 16S ribosomal RNA". It matches the Rfam family "Bacterial small subunit ribosomal RNA", at positions 524 to 776 of the family's 1533-position model. The record is from RNAcentral.
UACGGGGGGGGCAAGCGUUGUUCGGAAUUACUGGGCGUAAAGGGCUCGUAGGCGGCCCACUAAGUCAGACGUGAAAUCCCCGGGCUCAACCCGGGAACUGCGUCCGAUACUGGAAGGCUUGAAUCCGGGAGAGGGAUGUGGAAUUCCAGGUGUAGCGGUGAAAUGCGUAGAUAUCUGGAGGAACACCGGUGGCGAAGGCGACAUCCUGGACCGGUAUUGACGCUGAGGCGCGAAAGCCAGGGGAGCAAACGGG